This is a long non-coding RNA of Dioscorea cayenensis subsp. rotundata (Guinea yam), 549 nucleotides long. RefSeq lists it as uncharacterized. The transcript has 3 exons. NCBI's taxonomy places the organism in Eukaryota, Viridiplantae, Streptophyta, Magnoliopsida, Dioscoreales, Dioscoreaceae. The record is from RefSeq and is a predicted model, not a curated record.
UUACUUCCUCCUCCUCCUCUAGAACCUCCAUUCCAUCUCACCAAAACCCUCAUACUUGACCUCCAAGUAAAGAAAGGAAUGGAGAUUUCUUCUCCUUUCAUGAAGAAGAGAUUGCUUAGAAUAUAGAGAAGAUUCGGUGGUUGUUUAAUUGCUUCUAGGAGGUGAAGAUUCAUGCAAUGAAUUAGAGCCAAUGGGGAAGCAACACUGGAGUGUUUUAGCUCACCAAGUGUGUGUUAGAUCGGCGUAACGGUGCGAAGGUGUCAUGUUUGGCAAUGGUCUAUAGUUGGUGCAUUCAUUCUAAGAUAUAUAUAUAUAUAUAUAUUUUAUUUAUCUUUUUGUCUUUGGCAUGUAUUGGUGGGAUCCAUUAGGUUAUUCAUGUUGACUAAUUUGUAUUUAAUUUCCCCUUUGGAUACCCUGUAUCCUGCCGUUGUCUAAGAUUUGUACAAGAAACUAUAUCCAGGAUUUUGGGAUUGUAUUGUGAAUUUAUGUCUGGUGUUGUAAUUUCCUAUGUUUCCCUGUCUUAUUAUGGUCAUGAUGUUCUUGUAUCCA